RNAcentral lists this unclassified non-coding RNA (4419 nucleotides) under Hevea brasiliensis (rubber tree). Lineage: Eukaryota; Viridiplantae; Streptophyta; Magnoliopsida; Malpighiales; Euphorbiaceae. The record is from RNAcentral.
GCUCACAUCGUGUGGUAGAAUGAGGAUGGUUUGUACCUGAGCAUGGAGACGGUAGACUGGUUGUUAAUCGCCGGUGUGACUGAAAACAUCGAAUGUUGAGAAAGUGAUCGGAAAGCAAACAUGAGGAAGCGAGAUUUGGCUAUUCUCAUGCUCUCCGCUUUCACUAUCUUCUUUUCUCUUCAGCAUGCGGGUGAUUUCUGGUCUAGAGAGGCGUGGUUUCAUCUAUCCGAUGAUUACCCUAUUAAAUACGAAGCUGAUCGUCUUCCGCCGCCUGUUGUCGCCGAUCUAAACGGGGAGGGAGGGAAAGAAAGAAGUUCUUGUCGCUACUGAUGAUGCUAAAACCUCCCUCCCCUAAAUUAUCGUUUAAUCGGUUUUGGUAGGUUUGACUGGGUGAUGUAAUUGUGCAUGUGUUAAGUUUUGGAGCCCCAUCCUAGGCGGGUGGACGAAGGGUUUAGUGAAGCCAGAGUGCUUGCGGAGGUCUCACCAUUGCCUGACAAAAUUCGGGUUGCAUCUGGCUGGCGGGCAGUGGCUAUGGCUGCUGGUGUUAUGGAUAACACACAGAAACGGGGCCAACCACUGAAGCAGGUGUUGGUGGUUGUUACUUCGGGUUGGUUAGUAAUGUGCUUUGAUCACAACCUCAAAAAGCUACGUGAAUCAAAUCUGCUGGUUUGUAACUUUGUUGUGCUUUUCUUAUUUAUACUUUCUAGUUUACAAAUACUUUGGUUUUUUGGGGCAGGAGGAUUUUCCGCAUAAUGCUCACCACUGGGAGAUUGCCAUCUCCAUAAGUAAUUACACAUUGAAGCAUGGGGAUACAGGAUUGGUUAUUGUUGGUGGGAGGAUGGAAAUGCAGCCACAUAUGUACUUGGAUCCUUUUGAAGAAAUUGGGAUAGCUGAGAGAAAUGCUGAGCAGCAUAGAAGAAGUGCUAAUGAGAAGGAGACUUCAGUGAACUCUGGAAUUGUGAAUUUGCGCCAUUUUGCCUUUUAUGCUUUGCUGGUUGAACUGGUGUCCUCCGUUGGAGUAGAAAGAAUGAGGUGACCUAUUUGAGUCCUUAAUUUUAUUCUUUCAUGUGCAGUUCAUGCCUUAGUAAUUUGCGGCUGUUUCAACUAUACUACUGUUGUAAAAUUGAGUUGCAUUACUUAGACAGUAACUAAAUUUGAGUGUUGCACUAUGAAAUUGUAUUUGAACCUAAAUGUACUCUUACCUUUGCAUUUAACUUCACAUUGACAAUCAAAGCUUCUUUAAGAUGCAUAUAGUUCCUAUAUGCAACUGUAGUUAUAGAAUGGGAACCCAUUUUCAAGCCCUUACUUUUCAAGAUUUCUCUAUUGAGUCCUUUAGUUGUAUAUUGAGUCCAUGAACUUUCCAAUUUAAAACAUUGAGAACUUAUUUAACAACUAAAAUUAAGAGAAAGAGGGAGAGAGAAAUUUGUAACUGUGAUUUUAGAAAUAUAAAAAGAUUGCCCUACUUUUCAAAAUAUUGCCCUGCUCAAUGGACAAAACUUGAAAAUGUCUAUGGCCCUGGAUAUGGGUUUUUUGGUUUUCCUAACCGAAUAUUUUCUAGAGUGAAAAAGCAGGGCAAUUUUUAAAUUUUCUUUAAACUGCCAAACAAAUUUCCUCACCGUUUUUAAACAGAAUUUUAUUUAUGCCAUUCUCUUGUACCAAGAGAAACAUAUCAUAUGGCCAAUAUAAACAUACAAACAAUUUGGAUGGUAAUUUUAAUUAGGAAACUUUCAUUCAUGCAGCACCUUAUGGAUAGUAUGCUAUGUUUCUUAUGUAAAAUAGACGGUCCUUUUUCAAUUAAUAAUAUCAUCAUUUUUGUUGUUUAGAAUAUAGAGCCGCAAUCUUCAGAUGCAUCCCAACUAAUUCCCCAACAUAACUACAAGCUUGACGUCCAUGCUCUGAAUAGCCGUCAUCCUGGAGAGGUAGGCCUUGGAGCCAUUUUGAGAAACUUAUUACUCUGAAUUGUAAUUACUGAAUUCUUAUAUAAAUCGCGAUACCUUCUUAUUGAUAUUAACAUCUUGACUUAUUUUUGUUCUUAUAAUCUCCCAAGAAAAAGUCAUUGAUGACCAAUUAGAACAGUUGUGUUUCUUAAGUUUUUGGAUUGCAUUAGUUUAUCUUCCUCAGGUUUUUGGAUUUAUCGUUUCAAGCUGAAAUUGGCCUGAAUAUGCUUCUAUCACAAAUUUUGAAGCCUCAAACCAAUACCAACCCAAAAUAAUUUUCUUUGAAGAGAAAAGUCCUAUGUUCUUGUGUUUUAUUUUCUUUUAUUUCCAAAGAAAUUGUUACUGCCUUUUCUAUUGGCUAUCUCUCCUAAAGAUUUGCAUGCUGAGCAAUGUUGCACCUUAGCAUGAAUGCAGGGAAUUUGGGCAAGCAAUUCUUAGAGUUAUGCCGCAUCACAGGGAUAGGAGAGAAGAUACUCGGUUGCAGUUGUCGCACUUCAGGCCUCACAAAAGAAAAGGUUUGAAAAAAGUUCCCAGAAAGACUACAAACUAUCCUUUUCACAAGCCUGAAGAAAAUCAUCCUCCUGGGAAGGACUCAUCAAAUAAAAUUUCUAACAUCAUUGGAAAAGCAGCAAAUUAUGCUGCGUCAGCAAAAUCUAAGAAGCCAUUACCUUAUAUUCCAACCAUAACAAACUACACCCAGCUUUGGUGGGUUCCUAAUGUUGUUGUGGCUCAUCAAAAAGAAGGGAUAGAAGCUGUUCACUUGGCAUCUGGUCGCACCCUUUGUAAGCUUCAUCUCCGAGAAGGUGGCCUUCAUGCUGAUAUUAAUGGAGAUGGUGUCCUAGAUCAUGUGCAGGCUGUUGAAGGAAAUGAAGCGGAGCUGUUGAGGGAAAUGGAGCGGAGCAGACUACUGUUAGUGGAUCAAUGGAAGUGCUGCGACCUUGUUGGGAGGUUGCAACUUCUGCUGUACCAGUGCGGGAGCAACUCUUCAAUGCUUCUAUAUGUCAUCAUUUCCCAUUUAUUCCAACAUGGAGAGUUCUCCACAAAUUUUGGCCAUACGUCUGAUGUAUCUUAUUUAGAGGUAGCAACACCUAUUCCCAUCCCAAGAAGUGGUGGUCAUAGGCAUCGCAAGGGAAGUGGCGAUGUUGUCUUCUUGACAAAUCGUGGGGAGGUACUGUAAUCUGAAACUAGUUUCUUCUUGUAGCUAAAUUACAGUCUGAUCAAGAAAAUUGUUUAGUGCCAUUAUCUUUAUUUGUUUGUUUUAUAGAAUGGAACAUUAUUCUGGUGUGAAAUUAUUAGUUAGGCUGGGAGUGAUUCUUCUAGAAACGAGGUAAUGGUGUGUAUGGGUCUCAUGACAAUUUGUUUCUAGUGGGAGCGUACUCCUAUGAUGACUAGUAAUUUCUUCUUAUUACGGCAUCUGAAGAAGCAAUAUGAACUUCAAAAUGAUCAUUCCCAUGUAGAGAAAUUUGUUCUCUAAAUGGGGGUAUCCAAUUGGAUCAGAGUUUAGUUAAUUUUAUUUAUUUAUAGAAGAAAAUCCUAAUGUCAACCGACUUAGUAAGUACAGUAAGAUUGAACUUGGUGAAAUUUAAAACCUUUAUCCCGACAGUUAGUUAUAACCUGCCUGUUAUAUUCAUAACUGUUAUAUGUGCAGAAAUAUGAGUUCAGGCACGUUGAGGUUAUAGGGACUCGUUAGGGUACCACAUCUUUCAGGUCACUUCAUACUCUCCCGGCUCACAUGGCCAUAAUGCCAUCUGGGAAUGGCAUCUCUUAACAGGUGCUGCAUGGUCAAAUCUUCCUUCUCCAUCAGGGUUGAUGGAAGUUGGAGUGGUGGUCCCAACGCUUAAGACAUUUUCUUUGCGACUGCAUGAAAAUCAACAAAUGAUCCUUGCAGCAGGAGAUCAGGAGGCAGUAGUUAUAUCUCCCGGAGGAAGCAUACAAACAUUAAUUGACCUUCCUGCGACACCCACUCAUGCACUGAUCAGCGAGGACUUCUCAAAUGAUGGGCUUACUGACCUUAUUGUUGUGACGUCCAAUGGAGUGUAUGGCUUUGUACAGACAAGGACACCUGGUGCCCUCUUCUUCAGCACACUGGUUGGUUGCCUUCUAAUUGUGAUGGCAGUCAUCUUGGUGACCCAACACUUGAACUCCAUUAAGGGAAAAUCACGUGCUUCAUCUGGUUCUGGGCGAGAAGCAAUUUAUACUUGCUGUUUGUCAGAAAUUAAUGGUCACGGCCAUAAAGUCCAAAGAAAAAUAAUGGCAACAAGAGGCUGAUAUGGGAAAUCCAAUUGAUCUGUGGAGUAGGCAUCAGAGCAAAGAAUUAUUAGACCAUGUUUACCCAUGAUUUUAUGAACAAAGGGAUUGAUCACCAUCCCUUUGUUCCUUGUGUAAAUUAUAGAACUAACUUUGUGGAUGACUCUUGGCUAAGCUUAAUAUGGUUUUUAGAAAAUUUCGAAUUAAUGUGAAAGUUCUGUUUGCCUUCGACAUC